AAAGAUAGAGAACAUUGGUGCCAAUAUCUCUGCAACCCCAGAGGGCCUGCGUUUGACCUGGAAGAACCCAUACAGGGAUAAGGCGCCUCACUGCUUUGAGAGCUUUAUUCGAUUCAAGACCAUCUGUGCCCCCAGCUGGGAGAACGUUACCCCAGUUAGGUUCAACUACGUCCUGAGGACCAGCAGGCAUAAGGAUUACCAGUUCCAGAUACGGAUGAGGUACAACUCGCUAUGUGAACCCACCCGUCUCAAUGUCUGGACCUCGUGGACACCGACGCUCAGCCUAGGAAAUGUUAACGACACAGGAUCUUGCAUGGUGGGGGGACCUCCACCACAGCCCACCACCACACUGUACACCAUCCUCCUCCUCCCCCUUCUCUUGUGUUUCGUGCUCCUGUGCAGCUUGACUCACGAAAGGCACGUAUAAGCUGUAUCAGCCAAUAUGAAAUAUAUAUAUGUAUCCAAAUCCUAUUUACAACCGCCUAAAUACAAUAACAAUGCUUUAAUAAUCAAGUCAGUCGUGCAUAAAACCUCUUAUACUUUAUGUCGAUCCCAUCCAGGGUCAGAAGGUACUUUCUGCCAAUCAUUCCUGAUCCAAAGCACAGGCUGGAUGGGCUCUUUAAGAUGGAAAUUAGUCAGAACUGUGCUGACCCUGAGAUGGAGUGUGAGAUUGAGACAGUGGCAAUCGAAAUAGUCAACUUUGAGAAGGAGGAAGAUGGUCCGAUUGAAGAGAAACUUCUGGAGAAAGACCAGGAGACUAAGGGAGAGGCCGAGCAUGGCAACGGAGGCCGGAGUUCUGGGCUCCAUGCAGUUUGACUGAGGCAGACCUUCAGGGCUACCCCACCAUACCAAUAAGUGGGGAGUACAUCAUGCAUAAUAGGAUAUUGUGAAUAAUCUAAAAUAUGUGCAAAUGCUAAUUAUCCCAGAAAAUACACUGGUUUUGAAAAUAGUAGACACACUUGUUUCAGAUUUGUCUUGACUAAUUAGCCUACGUUGAAACGUGUGUUUUAUUUUAUUUGUAUUAUUGACAAAUAUUGAUCUGUAGCUGUUGUAUUAUAAUUUACAACCAAAGGAGGGCAGUGUGACCAUAAGUAAAAAGAAUGCAGUUCUUCAGUUCUAAAGCUCUCUAAUGAGCCCACGUAAGGCGGGCGUGCUGGGACACAGUGCAGACUGCACAGAGAGGCCUGAUUAUGAUUGAUAAAUGAUGAAAACGUAAUACAAAAGAUCUUAAUGAAGAGGGGGUUUAAAGUGGUUGAUACUGGGGAUUUUAAACUACGGCGGACAAUAAUGUUGCACUUCCUUUGUAUAUAUAUUUUUAUUUUCUAUCAUGUAUUCCAAAUUCAUAAUAAAAAAUAUAUAUUUAUAUAUAUUUACUCUUUGGUAUGAGCUUAUUUUAUAUAGAUGUUUGGG
This is a long non-coding RNA of Gadus macrocephalus (Pacific cod), 1410 nucleotides long. RefSeq lists it as uncharacterized. The record is from RefSeq and is a predicted model, not a curated record. The transcript has 4 exons. NCBI's taxonomy places the organism in Eukaryota, Metazoa, Chordata, Actinopteri, Gadiformes, Gadidae.